UUGAGUUUUAGUUUAAGAUAAGAAUUUUUGACUGUUAAUCAAAAGGAGCAGUUGUUGCAAAUUCAAU
RNAcentral lists this transfer RNA (67 nucleotides) under Dosinia altior. RNAcentral describes it as "tRNA-Asn". It matches the Rfam family "tRNA". From Rfam's summary of the family: Transfer RNA (tRNA) molecules are approximately 80 nucleotides in length. Their secondary structure includes four short double-helical elements and three loops (D, anti-codon, and T loops). The record is from RNAcentral. Lineage: Eukaryota; Metazoa; Mollusca; Bivalvia; Venerida; Veneridae.